AAUUUAUUAUGUAAUUUAAGUAGGAUUUGACAUGAUAUAUUUUUAUUGCUUAAUGCAAAAAGAGGUGAACAAAGGGGUUCACCCCUCCUAAGUUUCGUUCUAUCCUGAUAAUACGUUAUCUGCUAACUAUUCUGAUGCAUGUAUUUUCUCUACAUGAUUAUUCAGUCGCAAGUCAACUUUUUUUGCUCUUCAUGCUAAAUAUUUUGUUACCUUUUAAUAAUAAUGUUAUCGUCUUCGCAUAUAUAUGUGUCUUUGAAAUCUAAACAUUGGUUCAAUAACUGCAAAUUUGUUUAUAUCGUCAAAUAUAUUAUUAACAUAUUAAGUUGGUUUGUACUUCAUGUCAUUUCAUUCAUGCCUGUGACGAAAGUAGGAUGAAAUUUAAUUGGGGUCAAAAUUAUAUAAAACAAAAACAAAUAUAUUAUUUUGACAACUAUCCUAUUUAUGAGUUUUCAUUUGAAAAGUACUCUUUUUCUUAUUAAUUUUGUAAUGCAAUAUAU
This 497-nucleotide small RNA is filed under the name Arabidopsis thaliana (thale cress). Its description in RNAcentral is "ATSL153800". Lineage: Eukaryota; Viridiplantae; Streptophyta; Magnoliopsida; Brassicales; Brassicaceae. The record is from RNAcentral.